AUUGAACGCUGGCGGCAGGCCUAACACAUGCAAGUCGAGCGAGUGGCGGACGGGUGAGUAAUGUAUGGGGACUGCCCGCUAGAGGGGGAAAAACACUGGAAACGGUAGCUUAUACCGCCUAUUAUCGGAUAACCCAUAUGGGAUGGGCUAGUAGGUGAGUUAAUGGCUCACCUAGGCGACGAUCCCUAGCUGGUCUGAGAGGAUGAUCAGCCAAACUGGGACUGAGACACGGCCCAGACUCCUACGGAGGCAGCAGUGGGGAAUAUUGCACAAUGGGCGAAAGCCUGAUGCAGCCAUGCCGCGUGGAUGAAGAAGGCCCUAGGGUUGUAAAGUACUUUCAGUCGGGAGGCGUUACCGACAGAAGAAGCACCGGCUAACUCCGUGCCAGCAGCCGCGGUAAUAC
Molecule: ribosomal RNA, 403 nt
Filed under: uncultured bacterium
Lineage: Bacteria
Description: partial 16S ribosomal RNA
Rfam family: Bacterial small subunit ribosomal RNA
Source: RNAcentral